CGGGUGUGGCCCCGGUCUAAGUUCCUUGGAACAGGACGUCACAGAGGGUGAGAAUCCCGUACGUGCCCGGUGGCCGCCCCCGUGUGAAGCUCCUUCGACGAGUCGAGUUGUUUGGGA
This 117-nucleotide ribosomal RNA is filed under the name Oidiodendron sp. RNAcentral's name for it is "partial large subunit ribosomal RNA". It matches the Rfam family "Eukaryotic large subunit ribosomal RNA", at positions 165 to 279 of the family's 3401-position model. Lineage: Eukaryota; Fungi; Ascomycota; Leotiomycetes; Myxotrichaceae. The record is from RNAcentral.